GCUCCUUACCUCGACUGGCACAGGACAGGCCAAUAGAAAUGGCAGCUCAACCUGAAAGCCUUACGGUGAGGCAGAGACAGACAUCUAUCUCGAUUCCUCUGUUUGACCAUUACCAUCUUGCUUUUGAGACCGAUCACUAGACCUCUCAAGCAUUGUAGUUGCAUCACAUACGAAAUAAGUGCCGACCCGCGCAAGUGAACGAGGAAGCUUACCAUUCCGCCGUCGGUCAGUUAUUCAGCUAGGCAGGGUAUCAACGGUCUAACUACGAAAUCUUGAUAUCAAUGCCCGGACUUUCAUCCCACACUAUUUCUUCUUUCGUUUUAAGACCUAAUAAGGAAUUUCAAAAUUCUUCUUCGAAAGCUUUUCAAAUCACAUAAGGCAGACCCGGUAACAUUAGAGUUGAU
This 404-nucleotide unclassified non-coding RNA is filed under the name Hevea brasiliensis (rubber tree). The record is from RNAcentral. Lineage: Eukaryota; Viridiplantae; Streptophyta; Magnoliopsida; Malpighiales; Euphorbiaceae.